CCAGCAGCCGCGGUAAUUCCAGCUCCAAUAGCGUAUAUUAAAGUUGUUGCAGUUAAAAAGCUCGUAGUUGGAUUUGUGGUUUGUGGUGGGUUCCGGGCACUUGUUGUCUGAGUAACUCGCCGCUGCCAUCCUUGGGUGGAACCUGUGUGGCAUUAGGUUGUCGUGCAGGGGAUGCCCAUCGUUUACUGUGAAAAAAUUAGAGUGUUCAAAGCAGGCUUACGCCGUUGAAUAUAUUAGCAUGGAAUAAUAAGAUAGGACUUUGUUGCUAUUUUGUUGGUUUGCGCAACGAGGUAAUGAUUAAUAGGGACAGUUGGGGGUAUUCGUAUUCCAUUGUCAGAGGUGAAAUUCUUGGAUUUUUGGAAGACGAACUACUGCGAAAGCAUUUACCAAGGAUGUUUUCAUUAAUC
RNAcentral lists this ribosomal RNA (407 nucleotides) under uncultured eukaryote. RNAcentral's name for it is "SSU rRNA". It matches the Rfam family "Eukaryotic small subunit ribosomal RNA", at positions 567 to 978 of the family's 1831-position model. The record is from RNAcentral.